RNAcentral lists this ribosomal RNA (462 nucleotides) under uncultured bacterium. RNAcentral's name for it is "partial 16S ribosomal RNA". It matches the Rfam family "Bacterial small subunit ribosomal RNA", at positions 29 to 507 of the family's 1533-position model. The record is from RNAcentral.
AGUGAACGCUGGCGGCGUGCCUAAUACAUGCAAGUCGAACGGAGCUUCAGUAGCUUGCUAUUUAAUCUUAUUGGCGCACGGGUGAGUAAUAUAUAGCUAACUUGCCCCUUACUAAGGGACAACAGUUGGAAACGACUGCUAAUACCUUAUACUCCGUAUCUAUAUAAGUAGAUACGGGAAAGUUUUUCGGUAAUGGAUAGGGUUAUAUCGUAUCAGCUAGUUGGUAAGGUAAUGGCUUACCAAGGCUAUGACGCGUAACUGGUCUGGGAGGAUGAUCAGGCACACUUGAACUGAGGCACGGUCCAGGCUCCUUCGGGAGGGAGCAGUAGGGAAUAUUGCUCAAUGGGGGAAACCCUGAAGCAGCAACGCCGCGUGGAGGAUGACACGUUUCGGAGCGUAAACUCCUUUUCUUGUGAAAGAAUUAUGACGGUACCCAAGGAAUAAGCACCGGCUAACUCCGUG